UUUAUCGGAGAGUUUGAUCCUGGCUCAGGACGAACGCUGGCGGCGUGCCUAAUACAUGCAAGUCGAGCGGACAGAUGGGAGCUUGCUCCCUGAUGUCAGCGGCGGACGGGUGAGUAACACGUGGGUAACCUGCCUGUAAGACUGGGAUAACUCCGGGAAACCGGGGCUAAUACCGGAUGCUUAAUUGAACCGCAUGGUUCAAUUAUAAAAGGUGGCUUCGGCUAUCACUUACAGAUGGACCCGCGGCGCAUUAGCUAGUUGGUGAGGUAACGGCUCACCAAGGCAACGAUGCGUAGCCGACCUGAGAGGGUGAUCGGCCACACUGGGACUGAGACACGGCCCAGACUCCUACGGGAGGCAGCAGUAGGGAAUCUUCCGCAAUGGACGAAAGUCUGACGGAGCAACGCCGCGUGAGUGAUGAAGGUUUUCGGAU
This 433-nucleotide ribosomal RNA is filed under the name Bacillus paralicheniformis. RNAcentral's name for it is "bacterial SSU rRNA". It matches the Rfam family "Bacterial small subunit ribosomal RNA", at positions 1 to 423 of the family's 1533-position model. Lineage: Bacteria; Bacillati; Bacillota; Bacilli; Caryophanales; Bacillaceae. The record is from RNAcentral.